This 29-nucleotide non-coding RNA is filed under the name Rattus norvegicus (Norway rat). The record is from RNAcentral. Lineage: Eukaryota; Metazoa; Chordata; Mammalia; Rodentia; Muridae.
AAUAUAUGGUGGAUAUGUGAAGGAUAGAC